CGUUGAAGUUUGGGUCCUUCGCAAUGAGAACCUUUGAACCGUGUCAGGUCCGGAAGGAAGCAGCACUAAGAAGUAAAUCUCAUGUGACGAAGGGAAGCCUGGAUGGAGCAAACUACU
Molecule: signal recognition particle RNA, 117 nt
Filed under: Syntrophomonas wolfei subsp. wolfei str. Goettingen G311
Lineage: Bacteria; Bacillati; Bacillota; Clostridia; Eubacteriales; Syntrophomonadaceae
Description: SRP RNA; RNA component of signal recognition particle
Rfam family: Bacterial small signal recognition particle RNA (bases 8-107)
About the family: The signal recognition particle (SRP) is a universally conserved ribonucleoprotein involved in the co-translational targeting of proteins to membranes. Archaeal SRP consists of a 7S RNA and homologues of the eukaryotic SRP19 and SRP54 proteins.
Source: RNAcentral